RNAcentral lists this unclassified non-coding RNA (501 nucleotides) under Bombus terrestris (buff-tailed bumblebee). RNAcentral describes it as "misc RNA ENSBTSG00005030356.1". The record is from RNAcentral. Lineage: Eukaryota; Metazoa; Arthropoda; Insecta; Hymenoptera; Apidae.
UACGUGCCGUGUUCGUCUCGCUCGUUCCGAUGAAAACCUUCGUUCCGGGAAUUAUACGCGUGUCUUCUGAAACGCGUUUGGAAAAUACCAUCAACGCGUUUCGCUAUUUGGAUCAGGUUGCAGUAACGAAACGACGAGCGUAACAGCCGAGAAUUUGCGCAAAAAUGCUGCGAGUUACGUAGCGAAGCAACGAACUAGCCAUCGGGCAGGGACGAAAAAUGCGUUGAAAAUUCGGGUCGAGGGAACAGGAAAUAAAGAAGGGACCGAACGAAGGGAGAGAAGAGCCGAAAGGCUCGGUACGGUUUGUCCUUGAAUAUUUUACAAUCUCUCUCAGGAGGGAAAGCGCAUUCCCACGGCGAGCCAAGGGCCUUGGUUACAGUAUUGCGUCGCUUGCUUUUUCACUUAAACGAGCUCCCGCCGCGCGAUCCCAGCUAUGGAGCUGCAGCUGAUUAGAUUAGAUAGCGUGGCUUUUCGUCCGAUAACCAGAUGUUAACUUAUCUU